This 611-nucleotide long non-coding RNA is filed under the name Dromaius novaehollandiae (emu). RNAcentral's name for it is "lncRNA (ENSDNVG00000002203.1)". Lineage: Eukaryota; Metazoa; Chordata; Aves; Casuariiformes; Dromaiidae. The record is from RNAcentral.
UGUUCAUACAGGACUCUGCCUGCUCACAGAUUUGUCAUGUGCAGCUCUAUCCUGUUCAUUCCAUGAUUACAUGUGCAUAAUGCCUUCCUCUACUGUGCAUGCCUCAACAGGCAGGCCAGAGUCUCAGGGCUCUUUCUGGAGUAGUCCCAGGAUCUGGUAGGCUUAAGAACAGCUCCAUUUGUUUUUUGAUCUUUGUGAUGGACCACUGAAGAUGGACAAGGAGAUAGAAGUGCCUGGGAUUUCUGCAGCAUCCAUGGAGCACAAUAAAGAGAAGGUGAUGUAUGCCAGUACUGUCUUUACAAUACAGCUCUGGAUGGCAUGCCUUGGUGCAGGAAUGGAUGCUGUGUCUCUUGGUAACAACCUCUUGGAGAGAAUACAUCAAAUGUUCCCAAAACGCUAUGGAGGUUGGGGGCAGAAGCACACGGAUGAAGAAUAGAAUUAGGGCCCUCCAUUUUGUGACUGCAUUGGCCUCUCAGAAAGGAAAUGGCUGUGCCACACUGCCAGGCUGACAGAAGCACGUCAGAUGACCUAAGAAGGACAUGUGGAUCUCCGAGAAGUUGCUCUCAGUCUCAAAGGUAGGAUAAGUUACAGUGCAAAUUCCAUAGUAAUAU